GACGAACGCUGGCGGCGUGCUUAACACAUGCAAGUCGAACGGUAAGGCCCUUCGGGGUACACGAGUGGCGAACGGGUGAGUAACACGUGGGUGAUCUACCCUGCACUUCGGGAUAAGCCUGGGAAACUGGGUCUAAUACCGGAUAGGACUCCUGGCUUCAUGGUUGGGGGUGGAAAGCUUUUGCGGUGUGGGAUGGGCCCGCGGCCUAUCAGCUUGUUGGUGGGGUAAUGGCCUACCAAGGCGACGACGGGUAGCCGGCCUGAGAGGGUGACCGGUCACACUGGGACUGAGAUACGGCCCAGACUCCUACGGGAGGCAGCAGUGGGGAAUAUUGCACAAUGGGCGCAAGCCUGAUGCAGCGACGCCGCGUGAGGGAUGACGGCCUUCAGGUUGUAAACCUCUUUCAGCUAUGACGAAGCGCAAGUGACGGUAGUAGCAGAAGAAGGACCGGCCAACUACGUGCCAGCAGCCGCAGUAA
RNAcentral lists this ribosomal RNA (478 nucleotides) under uncultured bacterium. RNAcentral's name for it is "partial 16S ribosomal RNA". It matches the Rfam family "Bacterial small subunit ribosomal RNA", at positions 28 to 523 of the family's 1533-position model. The record is from RNAcentral.